This 489-nucleotide ribosomal RNA is filed under the name uncultured Sphingobacteriales bacterium. RNAcentral describes it as "bacterial SSU rRNA". It matches the Rfam family "Bacterial small subunit ribosomal RNA", at positions 903 to 1382 of the family's 1533-position model. The record is from RNAcentral. Lineage: Bacteria; Pseudomonadati; Bacteroidota; Sphingobacteriia; Sphingobacteriales.
GCUCAGAAACUACAAAGGAAUUGACGGGGCCCGCACAAGCGGAGGAGCAUGUGGUUUAAUUCGAUGAUACGCGAGGAACCUUACCUGGGCUCGAACGUAAGAUGACUGUAGGUGAAAGCUUACAUCUCUUCGGAGCAUUUUACGAGGUGCUGCAUGGUUGUCGUCAGCUCGUGCCGUGAGGUGUCGGGUUAAGUCCCAUAACGAGCGCAACCCUACCUUUAGUUGCCAUCAGGUAAUGCUGGGGACUCUAAAGGAACUGCCUACGCAAGUAGUGAGGAAGCGGGGAUGACGUCAAAUCAGCACGGCCCUUACGUCCAGGGCUACACACGUGCUACAAUGGCCGAUACAGAGGGCAGCUACCUGGUGACAGGAUGCAAAUCUCCAAAGUCGGUCUCAGUUCGGAUCGGAGUCUGCAACCCGACUCCGUGAAGUUGGAUUCGCUAGUAAUCGCGCAUCAGCCAUGGCGCGGUGAAUACGUUCCCGGGCCUU